This 193-nucleotide ribosomal RNA is filed under the name uncultured bacterium. RNAcentral describes it as "partial 16S ribosomal RNA". It matches the Rfam family "Bacterial small subunit ribosomal RNA", at positions 1308 to 1500 of the family's 1533-position model. The record is from RNAcentral.
CAACUCGCCUACAUGAAGUCGGAAUUGCUAGUAAUCGCGGAUCAGCAUGCCGCGGUGAAUACGUUCCCGGGCCUUGUACACACCGCCCGUCACACCAUGGGAGUCGGUAACACCCGAAGCCUGUAGUCUAACCGCAAGGAGGACGCAGUCGAAGGUGGGAUUGAUGACUGGGGUGAAGUCGUAACAAGGUAUC